Molecule: unclassified non-coding RNA, 695 nt
Filed under: Parvatrema duboisi
Lineage: Eukaryota; Metazoa; Platyhelminthes; Trematoda; Gymnophallidae
Source: RNAcentral
UACAGUUCCCAAACACAGUACUAUGUGGUACCCUCGGGUGCUGCUUGUGCUGGCUCAGUUUACUGAGCAUGCAUGUUGUGGGGUCGACGCCCUGCUAAUAUGCAAACUGCUGAAACUUGAUGGAAUGACGGUUGAAUCAUCUGAAACAGCCUGGCAGCCUCUCCAGGCAGGUCAUACGACGUUACCUUGCGUUUCCUCGUACGAUCCAUUAACCAUGAGACAGGGUGCCUACCUACAUAAACCCAUGGAAUGCUCGGUUAUCUACGGAUGGCCCAGUCCAUUGCCAGGGUGUGGGGUGUGCUAGCCUUCGGGCUAGUGCUUGGCUUAAUGGCGCUCGGGGCUUUACUCGAGCACCGCCCUGUUGUCCGUUCAUGUUGUUGAUUGUGGUGUGACUGCGGUGCCUAUCCCGAUAAUGGAGCUUGGUGUCGGGGUGUGCUGUCGAGCUGCGAAUGACAGUGCUAGGCUUGAAGACGGGUACAGCCCGCCCCUAAAGUCAGUUGCGCCACGGUCAAUGUACCAAUAUUUUACACUGUUUAAGUAGAUCAGGCUGUUCACACAGUCUGGUUUGCUGCCUAAGGUAUGCACCGGGUGCUUCGGCACUCGACUGCAUACAUCGUCGCCUGGCGGUGCCUUAUCCCGGGCUCGACGGAUAACCCGUCCUCUGGCCGCAUAGGAAACUGUGUGGUUAUGACAUU